RNAcentral lists this ribosomal RNA (253 nucleotides) under uncultured bacterium. RNAcentral's name for it is "partial 16S ribosomal RNA". It matches the Rfam family "Bacterial small subunit ribosomal RNA", at positions 524 to 776 of the family's 1533-position model. The record is from RNAcentral.
UACGGAGGAUCCAAGCGUUAUCCGGAUUUAGUGGGUUUAAAGGGUGCGUAGGCGGCCUAUUAAGUCAGGGGUGAAGGACGGUGGCUCAACCAUCGCAGUGCCUUUGAUACUGAUAGGCUUGAAUACACUAGAGGUAGGCGGAAUGUGACAAGUAGCGGUGAAAUGCAUAGAUAUGUCACAGAACACCGAUUGCGAAGGCAGCUUACUAUGGUGUCAUUGACGCUGAGGCACGAAAGCGUGGGGAUCAAACAGG